ACGUAGGUGGCAAGCGUUGUCCGGAUUUAUUGGGUUUAAAGGGUGCGUAGGCGGUUUUGUAAGUCAGUGGUGAAAUACUCUAGCUUAACUAGAGGGGUGCCAAUGAUACUGCAGAACUUGAGUACAGAUGAGGUAGGCGGAAUUGACGGUGUAGCGGUGAAAUGCAUAGAUAUCGUCAAGAACACCUAUAGCGAAGGCAGCUUACUGGGCUGUAACUGACGCUGAGGCACGAAAGUGUGGGGAUCAAACAGGAUUAGAUACCCUGGUAGUCCACACUGUAAACGUUGAUUACUCGCUGUUUGCGAUACACAGCAAGCGGCUUAGCGAAAGCGAUAAGUAAUCCACCUGGGGAGUACGCCGGCAACGGUG
This 369-nucleotide ribosomal RNA is filed under the name uncultured bacterium. Its description in RNAcentral is "bacterial SSU rRNA". It matches the Rfam family "Bacterial small subunit ribosomal RNA", at positions 525 to 896 of the family's 1533-position model. The record is from RNAcentral.